This 120-nucleotide ribosomal RNA is filed under the name Mastacembelus armatus (zig-zag eel). Lineage: Eukaryota; Metazoa; Chordata; Actinopteri; Synbranchiformes; Mastacembelidae. The record is from RNAcentral.
CUCGGUGGCCGUGCCAUCCUGCAAGUGCUCGAUCCUGUCUGAUCCUGAAAGCUAAGCAGGACCAGGCCUGGUCCCAUCGUUGGAUGGGAGACCACCUUGGAAGACCAAGGACCACUAGAC